This 422-nucleotide ribosomal RNA is filed under the name uncultured bacterium. RNAcentral's name for it is "bacterial SSU rRNA". It matches the Rfam family "Bacterial small subunit ribosomal RNA", at positions 355 to 774 of the family's 1533-position model. The record is from RNAcentral.
UAAGGAAUAUUGGUCAAUGGAGGCAACUCUGGACCAGCCAUGCCGCGUGAAGGAUUAAGGCCCUCUGGGUUGUAAACUUCUUUUAUAUGGGAAGAAAUGUACUUUUUCUAAAGUGCUUGACGGUACCAUAGGAAUAAGCACCGGCUAACUCCGUGCCAGCAGCCGCGGUAAUACGGAGGGUGCAAGCGUUAUCCGGAUUUACUGGGUUUAAAGGGUGCGUAGGCGGAUGAAUAAGUCAGUGGUGAAAUCUCCGAGCUUAACUCGGAAACUGCCGUUGAUACUAUUUGUCUUGAAUAUUGUGGAGGUAAGCAGAAUAUGUCAUGUAGCGGUGAAAUGCUUAGAUAUGACAUAGAACACCAAUUGCGAAGGCAGCUUGCUACACAAUCAUUGACGCUGAGGCACGAAAGCGUGGGGAUCAAACA